Molecule: ribosomal RNA, 495 nt
Filed under: uncultured soil bacterium
Lineage: Bacteria
Description: bacterial SSU rRNA
Rfam family: Bacterial small subunit ribosomal RNA
Source: RNAcentral
AGUGGCGAACGGGUGAGUAAUACAUCGGAACGUGUCCCGUAGUGGGGGAUAACCCGGCGAAAGCCGGACUAAUACCGCAUAUGCCACGGGAAAGUGGUGCUAUGGGAGCGGCCGAUGUCCGAUUAGCUUGUUGGCGGGGUAAAGGCCCACCAAGGCGACGAUCGGUAGCUGGUCUGAGAGGAUGAUCAGCCACACUGGGACUGAGACACGGCCCAGACUCCUACGGGAGGCAGCAGUGGGGAAUUUUGGACAAUGGGGGCAACCCUGAUCCAGCCAUGCCGCGUGAGUGAAGAAGGCCUUCGGGUUGUAAAGCUCUUUUGGCCGGAAAGAAUGACGGUACCGGCAGAAUAAGCACCGGCUAACUACGUGCCAGCAGCCGCGGUAAUACGUAGGGUGCGAGCGUUAAUCGGAAUUACUGGGCGUAAAGCGUGCGUAGGCGGUUCUUUGUGUCCGCUGUGAAAUCCCCGGGCUUAACCUGGGAAUUGCAGUGGAAAA